UAAGUUAAACGGCCGCGGUAUCCUGACCGUGCAAAGGUAGCAUAAUCACUUGUUCCUUAAUUAGGGACUAGAAUGAAUGGCUAAACGAAGGUUCAACUGUCUCUUAUUCUUAAUCAGUGAAAUUGACCUUCCAGUGAAGAGGCUGGAAUAAAAUAAUAAGACGAGAAGACCCUGUGGAGCUUGAAUAAACUGACUUAAUUAUUAAACAAAACUACCUAGUGGGAUAAAAUAAAUAAUAUAAGCUAUAUAUUUCGGUUGGGGUGACCUCGGAGAAUAAAAAAACCUCCGAAUGAUUCUAGCAUAGACCAACAAGUCAAAACAAAUUUUAAAAUCUUAUUGACCCAAAGCAUUUUGAUCAACGGACCAAGUUACCCUAGGGAUAACAGCGCAAUCCUAUUCAAGAGUUCAUAUCGACAAUUAGGGUUUACGACCUCGAUGUUGGAUCAGGACAUCCCAA
Molecule: ribosomal RNA, 457 nt
Filed under: Micaelamys namaquensis (Namaqua Micaelamys)
Lineage: Eukaryota; Metazoa; Chordata; Mammalia; Rodentia; Muridae
Description: partial 16S ribosomal RNA
Rfam family: Bacterial large subunit ribosomal RNA
Source: RNAcentral